UGCGACGUGGAACUACACGUUCAUCCCUUUGUUAGGGGAAAGGGUGGUUUGUGAGGAGGGGUGAGUGCACGAGGUCUACAAGAAAAGCACAAGUUUACGGUAGAAAAACGAGGGACUUGUAGUGUGGAGCGCUCUAGCGGACAUACAGCGAACUAACGCACCCUAUGAUAGUAGGGUGCCUACUAUAGUAAUAAUAGUGCUCAUCAUGUGUGCACUGGAUGAUUGUAGUUCGGUUGCUCCGCUCGUCAAGGGAGGCUCCUGCUUCGCCCUAGCUUCGCCACUGUGUGGGCCCACGACUGUUGUCAUGGAGACUGCCGGACAUAGCCACGUGGGGUGAACACUAUGAGACUGUUUGAAAAAGGACCAGUAGGUGAUUAACACUGGAAAAUAUGAAUAGCCUUUGGUGAACAAUAUGAGACUGUUUGAAAAGGACCAUUACGUGACUAACACUGGAAAAUUAUGAAUAGGUUUUGGUCUUGUGACAAAUGAACCACGUUGCAUAUCUCAAGGACCUUGAGAUAUACAAGAGAUAUCACACCUUGUACAUCAGAGUUCGAGAAACGGGAUUUUCCCUGCCCCUCAACUGGGGAUUAUUACAAUUGAACUUUAGGAGGACGCAGAUGAAAAAUAUCAAUGUUAUUCAAUAAACGUUUUAAGAAAUUA
Molecule: long non-coding RNA, 663 nt
Organism: Nilaparvata lugens (brown planthopper)
Lineage: Eukaryota; Metazoa; Arthropoda; Insecta; Hemiptera; Delphacidae
Exons: 4
Source: RefSeq, a predicted model, not a curated record